AACGCUAGCUACAGGCUUAACACAUGCAAGUCGAGGGGAAACGACAUCGAAAGCUUGCUUUUGAUGGGCGUCGACCGGCGCACGGGUGAGUAACGCGUAUCCAACCUGCCCACCACUUGGGAAUAACCUUGCGAAAGUAAGACUAAUACCCAAUGACGUCUCUAGAAGACAUCUGAAGGAGAUUAAAGAUUUAUCGGUGAUGGAUGGGGAUGCGUCUGAUUAGCUUGUUGGCGGGGUAACGGCCCACCAAGGCGACGAUCAGUAGGGGUUCUGAGAGGAAGGUCCCCCACAUUGGAACUGAGACACGGUCCAAACUCCUACGGGAGGCAGCAGUGAGGAAUAUUGGUCAAUGGACGAGAGUCUGAACCAGCCAAGUAGCGUGCAGGAUGACGGCCCUAUGGGUUGUAAACUGCUUUUAUAAGGGAAUAAAGUGAGCCUCGUGAGGCUUUUUGCAUGUACCUUAUGAAUAAGGACCGGCUAAUUCCGUGCCAGCAGCCGCGGUAAUACGGAAGGUCCGGGCGUUAUCCGGAUUUAUUGGGUUUAAAGGGAGCGUAGGCCGGAGAUUAAGCGUGUUGUGAAAUGUAGACGCUCAACGUCUGCACUGCAGCGCGAACUGGUUUCCUUGAGUACGCACAAAGUGGGCGGAAUUCGUGGUGUAGCGGUGAAAUGCUUAGAUAUCACGAAGAACUCCGAUUGCGAAGGCAGCUCACUGGAGCGCAACUGACGCUGAAGCUCGAAAGUGCGGGUAUCGAACAGGAUUAGAUACCCUGGUAGUCCGCACGGUAAACGAUGGAUGCCCGCUGUUGGUCUGAAUAGGUCAGCGGCCAAGCGAAAGCAUUAAGCAUCCCACCUGGGGAGUACGCCGGCAACGGUGAAACUCAAAUGAAUUGACGGAAGG
RNAcentral lists this ribosomal RNA (898 nucleotides) under uncultured bacterium. RNAcentral's name for it is "bacterial SSU rRNA". It matches the Rfam family "Bacterial small subunit ribosomal RNA", at positions 32 to 920 of the family's 1533-position model. The record is from RNAcentral.